ACCUGACUGCUAUCGGAUUGAUACUAAGCCAUGCGAGUCAUUGUAGCAAUACAAGGCAUACGGCUCANUAACGCGUAGUCAACCUAACCUAUGGACGGGAAUAACCUCGGGAAACUGAGAAUAAUUCCCGAUAGAACAUUAUACCUGGAAUGGUUUAUGUUCCAAAUGAUUUAUCGCCAUAGGAUGGGACUGCGGCCUAUCAGUUUGUUGGUGAGGUAAUGGCCCACCAAGACUAUUACAGGUACGGGCUCUGAGAGGAGUAGCCCGGAGAUGGGUACUGAGACACGGACCCAGGCCCUAUGGGGCGCAGCAGGCGAGAAAACUUUGCAAUGUGCGAAAGCACGACAAGGUUAAUCCGAGUGAUUUGUGCUAAACGAAUCUUUUGUUAGUCCUAGAAACACUAACGAAUAAGGGGUGGGCAAGUUCUGGUGUCAGCCGCCGCGGUAAAACCAGCACCUCNNGUGGUCAGGAUGAUUAUUGGGCCUAAAGCAUCCGUAGCCGGCUCUGUAAGUUUUCGGUUAAAUCUGUACGCUUAACGUACAGGCUGCCGGGAAUACUGCAGAGCUAGGGAGUGGGAGAGGUAGACGGUACUCGGUAGGAAGUGGUAAAAUGCUUUGAUCUAUCGAUGACCACCUGUGGCGAAGGCGGUCUACCAGAACACGUCCGACGGUGAGGGAUGAAAGCUGGGGGAGCAAACCGGAUUAGAUACCCGGGUAGUCCCAGCUGUAAACUAUGCAAACUCAGUGAUGCAUUGGCUUGUGGCCAAUGCAGUGCUGCAGGGAAGCCGUUAAGUUUGCCGCCUGGGAAGUACGUACGCAAGUAUGAAACUUAAAGGAAUUGGCGGGGGAGCACCACAAGGGGUGAAGCCUGCGGUUC
Molecule: ribosomal RNA, 876 nt
Filed under: uncultured crenarchaeote
Lineage: Archaea; Thermoproteati; Thermoproteota
Description: bacterial SSU rRNA
Rfam family: Archaeal small subunit ribosomal RNA
Source: RNAcentral